CUAUUGCACUGAUAUAGAUGAUUUUUCAUAUAAUUUUAAAAUUGUAAUAGAAAAAAUACUUUGAUGAGCAUUAAAGAUACAUACCAAGGAGGCAUUAUGAUAAAUUUAUGAUUGACCUAACCUCUACAAUAUCUUUAAACAUUAAAAUACAGAUGAACAUUUGUAAAAAGGAGGCUUUCCUCAUUAUCACCCAGGGACAAAAAGGCCCAGCAUGCCUAAUUAAUUGUUUCUUUAGUAUAUUCAGUCGAUCCACUUGUUUCUUAGUACACUGAAUCGGUAGUUUGCAAUGUAUUAAAUUGUAUCAAAUUCAAACAAUUUCCAUGAAAAAAUAUGAUCACCAGUAAAAACAAACCUGAAUAAUUUAUUUUUAUUCCGUUUUAAUGAUUAGCAGGUUGUUCUCUUGAUGACGACAGGUACCACAUCACCAAUGUUGUAUUAUAUGUGAAUACUGGGCUUUUGUGCUAUUGACACAUUUUACUACUUUUAGGCUUAUAGUUUAUAUAUGGAUGACGCAAGACCAUAUAAUGGUUUUUGGUAGCAUUUAAAACAAGAACAUAACUUUCCUAACUCGGAGGAGACAAAGUUAGCCCUGAAAAAAGAUGCUGAAACAAGGUUGUCAUCUGAUUGUGUGGAGGGGACAGAGAGAAGUUCUCUUCUUCCUAGCCCUAUUUCUUUCAGUAUUCCUGACAGUUCUGCUUCUACUUCUGUUUUUGACUCAGUACCAAGAUAUUCUUGUGACUAAGGGCACAUUUAUUGAGCUCAAAUUAGGUGCCAAAGCAAGAUCAGGGAUGGAUGAGAGUCCUUGCACCCAAUGACAAAAUGUCCAAUUCACUUAUCUUUGUACCUAGGGUGAGAAAAUAAUUCAACAUAUCUCUCUUCAUUGUGAAGUCAUUUAUAAGUCUGGUGAAAAAGUCAGAACCUGUAACAGUAAAAGUAGAACCACUUCUAGAAAUCAAGAGAGAAUCAGCAAAUGCUUUAAAAAUACAGAACCUAUUUUUAAAAUCUCAAAACCUUGAUUUUUUCCUUCUUUUAAAUGUCUUAUAUUUUGCCAUGGCUUCCAAAAUACUAGUUUAACUAAAAUUAAGAUAUAAAUAUAAAAUAUUUGUAUUAAGACCACCUCCUGUUACUGGAACCCAAGUAUUUUCAGUAGUUUUCCCUCAUUUACAGUAUAACUUUCUGGCUAUUUAGCUAUUGUUGCUUGGCAUUCUAAGGCUUAUUUUCCUUCCCCCACAGAAUUCUGGUAAAAUGAUUUAUCUUAAAAUGUCUUUUUUUUUUUGUUAUUGUUCUGUGGUAAUUAACUUUAUAACAAAAACAAGUCUGUCAAUAUGUAAACUAUUAACCAUAUACUGUAACUGGAAAAAAAAAAAGAAACCCUUAAAAUCUAUCUAAAUUUGACAUUUUAUAUGUAAUUAAAUUGAAUUGGGAUUUUUUUUUCCC
RNAcentral lists this long non-coding RNA (1437 nucleotides) under Canis lupus familiaris (dog). RNAcentral's name for it is "lncRNA (ENSCAFG00000052197.1, ENSCAFG00805013900.1, ENSCAFG00845018104.1)". The record is from RNAcentral. Lineage: Eukaryota; Metazoa; Chordata; Mammalia; Carnivora; Canidae.